RNAcentral lists this ribosomal RNA (429 nucleotides) under Gemmatimonadota bacterium. RNAcentral's name for it is "Gemmatimonadetes bacterium partial 16S ribosomal RNA". It matches the Rfam family "Bacterial small subunit ribosomal RNA", at positions 355 to 776 of the family's 1533-position model. Lineage: Bacteria; Pseudomonadati; Gemmatimonadota. The record is from RNAcentral.
UAGGGAAUCUUCGGCAAUGGACGAAAGUCUGACCGAGCAACGCCGCGGGAGUGAAGAAGGUUUUCGGAUCGUAAAACUCUGUUGUUAGAGAAGAACAAGGACGUUAGUAACUGAACGUCCCCUGACGGUAUCUAACCAGAAAGCCACGGCUAACUACGUGCCAGCAGCCGCGGUAAUACGUAGGUGGCAAGCGUUGUCCGGAUUUAUUGGGCGUAAAGCGAGCGCAGGCGGUUUCUUAAGUCUGAUGUGAAAGCCCCCGGCUCAACCGGGGAGGGUCAUUGGAAACUGGGAGACUUGAGUGCAGAAGAGGAGAGUGGAAUUCCAUGUGUAGCGGUGAAAUGCGUGGAUAUAUGGAGGAACACCAGUGGCGAAGGCGGCUCUCUGGUCUGUAACUGACGAUGAGGCUCGAAAGCGUGGGGAGCAAACAGG